Molecule: unclassified non-coding RNA, 553 nt
Filed under: Mus musculus (house mouse)
Lineage: Eukaryota; Metazoa; Chordata; Mammalia; Rodentia; Muridae
Description: 3' external transcribed spacer
Source: RNAcentral
CCGUCGCACGCCUGCUCGCACGCGACCGUGUCGCUCGCCCGGGCGUCACGGGGGCGGUCGCCUCGGCCCCCGCGCGGUCGCCCGAACGACCGUGUGGUGGUUGGGGGGGGGGAUCGUCUUCUCCUCCGUCUCCCGAGGACGGUUCGUUUCUCUUUCCCCUUCCGUCGCUCUCCUUGGGUGUGGGAGCCUCGUGCCGUCGCGACCGCGGCCCGCCGUCGCCUGCCGCCGCAGCCCCUUGCCCUCCGGCCUUGGCCAAGCCGGAGGGCGGAGGAGGGGGCUCGGCGGCGGCGGCGGUGACCGCGGCGCGGUGACGCACGGUGGGGGUCCCCAUCCUCGGCGCGUCCAUCGGGGACGGCCGGUUGGAGGGGCGGAAGGGCUUUUUCCCGUAAACGCCGCGUUCGGCGCCAGGCCUCUGGCGGCCGGGGGGGCGCUCUCUCCGCCCGAGCAUCCCGACUCCCGCCCCUCCUCUUCGCGCGCCGCGGCGGCGACGUGCGUACGAGGGGAGGGUGUCGCGGUGUGGAGGCGGAGAGGGUCCGGCGCGGCGCCUCUUCCA